GUAGUUUACUACACCGUAUUCUGUGAGUUGCGAACGGGUGAGUAACGCGUAGGUAACCUGCCUGGUAGCGGGGGAUAACUAUUGGAAACGAUAGCUAAUACCGCAUAAGAACAUUUACUGCAUGGUAGAUGUUUAAAAGGUGCAAAAGCAUCACUACCAGAUGGACCUGCGUUGUAUUAGCUAGUUGGUGAGGUAACGGCUCACCAAGGCAACGAUACAUAGCCGACCUGAGAGGGUGAUCGGCCACACUGGGACUGAGACACGGCCCAGACUCCUACGGGAGGCAGCAGUAGGGAAUCUUCGGCAAUGGGGGGAACCCUGACCGAGCAACGCCGCGUGAGUGAAGAAGGUUUUCGGAUCGUAAAGCUCUGUUGUUAAGGAAGAACGUGUGUGAGAGUGGAAAGUUCACACAGUGACGGUACUUAACCAGAAAGGGACGGCUAACUACGUGCCAGCAGCCGCGGUAAUACGUAGGUCCCGAGCGUUGUCCGGAUUUAUUGGGCGUAAAGCGAGCGCAGGCGGUUAGAUAAGUCUGAAGUGAAAGGCAGUGGCUCAACCAUUGUAGGCUUUGGAAACUGUUUAACUUGAGUGCAGAAGGGGAGAGUGGAAUUCCAUGUGUAGCGGUGAAAUGCGUAGAUAUAUGGAGGAACACCGGUGGCGAAAGCGGCUCUCUGGUCUGUAACUGACGCUGAGGCUCGAAAGCGUGGGGAGCGAACAGGAUUAGAUACCCUGGUAGUCCACGCCGUAAACGAUGAGUGCUAGGUGUUAGGUCCUUUCCGGGACUUAGUGCCGCAGCUAACGCAUUAAGCACUCCGCCUGGGGAGUACGACCGCAAGGUUGAAACUCAAAGGAAUUGACGGGGGCCCGCACAAGCGGUGG
Molecule: ribosomal RNA, 879 nt
Filed under: Streptococcus constellatus
Lineage: Bacteria; Bacillati; Bacillota; Bacilli; Lactobacillales; Streptococcaceae
Description: bacterial SSU rRNA
Rfam family: Bacterial small subunit ribosomal RNA
Source: RNAcentral